UCCCUCGUAGUUCAGUCGGUAGAAAGGCGGACUGUUAAUCCGUAUGUCACAGGUUCAAGUCCUGUCGAGGGAGCCA
Molecule: transfer RNA, 76 nt
Filed under: Aeromonas sp.
Lineage: Bacteria; Pseudomonadati; Pseudomonadota; Gammaproteobacteria; Aeromonadales; Aeromonadaceae
Description: tRNA-Asn
Rfam family: tRNA
About the family: Transfer RNA (tRNA) molecules are approximately 80 nucleotides in length.
Source: RNAcentral